CCGAAGGCCGGCCGGCGUCCCGGGCGUGGGUGCGGGACCGCCCUCUGUGGUCUUGGGCGGUGGGAUCCCGCGUGUUGUUUUCCCGGUGGCCCGGCCGUGUCUGAGGCU
This is a microRNA precursor of Erinaceus europaeus (western European hedgehog), 108 nucleotides long. The record is from Ensembl. Lineage: Eukaryota; Metazoa; Chordata; Mammalia; Eulipotyphla; Erinaceidae.